GCCUCUUGACCAACCAUAAGAGGUCAAGCCUGCCCAGUGACAUUGUUCAACGGCCGCGGUAUCCUAACCGUGCGAAGGUAGCGUAAUCACUUGUUCUUUAAAUGAGGACUAGUAUGAACGGCUUCACGAAUGCUAUACUGUCUCCUUUAUCCGAUCAGUUAAACUAAUCUCCCCGUGAAGAAGCGGGGAUUUACCUAUAAGACGAGAAGACCCUAUGGAGCUUUAAACACUCUUAAACAUUUGAACCCUUAUUUCUUUACACCAAAAAACCACUAAACCCCUCAUUUUGUUUAAACUUUUAGGCUGGGGUGACCACGGACAACAACCUAACCUCCACGUGGAAAGAAACUUAACUCUAAGCAAAAAGCCACAUCUUUAUGCAUCAAUAAUAUUGACCUAAAUUGACCCAAUUAUUUGAUCAACGAACCAAGUUACCCUAGGGAUAACAGCGCAAUCCGCCUUAAGAGCUCCUAUCGACAGGCGGGCUUACGACCUCGAUGUUGGAUCAG
This 509-nucleotide ribosomal RNA is filed under the name Allobates aff. trilineatus 1 AR-2020. RNAcentral's name for it is "partial large subunit ribosomal RNA". It matches the Rfam family "Bacterial large subunit ribosomal RNA", at positions 1830 to 2540 of the family's 2925-position model. Lineage: Eukaryota; Metazoa; Chordata; Amphibia; Anura; Aromobatidae. The record is from RNAcentral.